RNAcentral lists this long non-coding RNA (1035 nucleotides) under Anser cygnoides (Swan goose). RNAcentral's name for it is "lncRNA (ENSACDG00005001776.1)". The record is from RNAcentral. Lineage: Eukaryota; Metazoa; Chordata; Aves; Anseriformes; Anatidae.
AUGGAGGGCGGUGGAGUGAGGCUGAAAAUGGGGGGGACCGGCUGUGUGUGUGUCAGUGUGUGUGUAACAACGGGCGGCUGCGGCGCCGAGGCUGCAAGGUGGUGUUUCUGUGUGUGUGUGUGCGUGUAUAUGCGUGUGUGUGUGUGUGUGCGCGGCUCCGUGCCCGCGAUGCACAAAGGGGUGGAGAGAGGUGCCGCCGGGCUCUGCCCGCGCCCUCCCCCGCCGCCCCCCCGGUUCGUGCCCGGGGUGCCGUCGGGCGUCCGCCGAGCCGGGCGAUGCUGCCCAGCCCGGGGCGGGGACGUGGAAAAGGGGGGGACACGGGAAGUGGGGGGGGACCGUGCCGCCCCCGGGGAAGCCGGGGGCAUGGGCUGGCGGUGUGACAGCCGCCGGCUCGCAGCUGAGGCAGCGCUCCUCCUGCCUCCCUUCCCUCCUGACCUUCCCCCGCGUAUCGCGGCUCUGCUUGGCGGGCGGCGGGCAGCAAUUAGCAUUAUUAUCGCUAUUACCGUUUUCAUCCGAGGAGCCGGCGUAAGGUGCGGGCGAACACCCGAGUCGUUGCUCCGAAGCCGAGAGUUGCUUCCCGCUCCCCCGCUCCCCUACCCCAAGCCCCCGUCUCGGCCGCCCCCAGCGGGCCGGGGAGCCCCCGGGGGCCGCCCCCGCCGUGCUGCCCUGCGGCACCGCCAGCCUCCUGCCCCGGCCUCCAUCCCGGUGUAUGCCGGCGGCGGCGGCACGGCGGCGGGGGGAGCGGGUGGCGGGACUGGGGCUGCUCCCGGUGCGACCCCCGGCCCCGGUCCCCGCACGGCGGCGCGGCCCCGGGCGGCGCGGGGCUUCCCUGAGCCCGGGGAAACCCCGGCUGCUGCCGCUGCCGGUGCGGCGGGGGGAUGCUGCAAUCCCCGGCAGCCUCCCCAAGCCGCCGUGCGCUGCGGUUCCUCACCUCUCCCCGGGAUGAACCCGCCCGCGGUUUUAAGCAGGCUGAGGUCGUCUCGCUUGCUCGGCUGUCAAGCCCGCGUUGCACAAUUUAUAGCUGCUUCUUGUUGA